UACGUAGGGUGCGAGCGUUGUCCGGAAUUAUUGGGCGUAAAGGGCUCGUAGGCGGUCUGUCACGUCGGGAGUGAAAACUCAGGGCUUAACCCUGAGCCUGCUUCCGAUCCGGGCAGACUAGAGGUAUGCAGGGGAGAGCGGAAUUCCUGGUGUAGCGGUGAAAUGCGCAGAUAUCAGGAGGAACACCGGUGGCGAAGGCGGUUCUCUGGGCAUUACCUGACGCUGAGGAGCGAAAGUGUGGGGAGCGAACAGG
This 253-nucleotide ribosomal RNA is filed under the name uncultured bacterium. RNAcentral describes it as "partial 16S ribosomal RNA". It matches the Rfam family "Bacterial small subunit ribosomal RNA", at positions 524 to 776 of the family's 1533-position model. The record is from RNAcentral.